This 87-nucleotide transfer RNA is filed under the name Candidatus Falkowbacteria bacterium CG10_big_fil_rev_8_21_14_0_10_37_14. RNAcentral describes it as "tRNA-Leu". It matches the Rfam family "tRNA". From Rfam's summary of the family: Transfer RNA (tRNA) molecules are approximately 80 nucleotides in length. Their secondary structure includes four short double-helical elements and three loops (D, anti-codon, and T loops). Further hydrogen bonds mediate the characteristic L-shaped molecular structure. tRNAs have two regions of fundamental functional importance: the anti-codon, which is responsible for specific mRNA codon recognition, and the 3' end, to which the tRNAs corresponding amino acid is attached (by aminoacyl-tRNA synthetases). tRNAs cope with the degeneracy of the genetic code in two manners: having more than one tRNA (with a specific anti-codon) for a particular amino acid; and 'wobble' base-pairing, i.e. permitting non-standard base-pairing at the 3rd anti-codon position. Lineage: Bacteria; Candidatus Falkowiibacteriota. The record is from RNAcentral.
GCGGAUAUGGCGGAAUUGGUAGACGCACAUGCUUCAGGUGCAUGCGGUGGCGACACCGUGGAGGUUCGAGUCCUCUUAUCCGCACAA